GAUUAUUUAUCUUAAUAAAAGUAUUUAUUUUGAAAGUAAAUUAUAAGAUAAAAUCUUAAUAAUCU
This 65-nucleotide transfer RNA is filed under the name Coleolaelaps cf. liui XFX-2019. Its description in RNAcentral is "tRNA-Ser". Lineage: Eukaryota; Metazoa; Arthropoda; Arachnida; Mesostigmata; Laelapidae. The record is from RNAcentral.